Molecule: long non-coding RNA, 1256 nt
Filed under: Cottoperca gobio
Lineage: Eukaryota; Metazoa; Chordata; Actinopteri; Perciformes; Bovichtidae
Description: lncRNA (ENSCGOG00000023037.1)
Source: RNAcentral
UCUGGUAUUUUACUUGAACAAAGAAGCUUGAAGAGUAUUUCUGAAUGAGAGAGCACAUUGUGCUAUUGUGAAGCUAUGAGUGAUGGAGAGGAUAAAAACCACGAGCCAAGAGAAUAAAGGUCAUGAAUGAGGGUAUUUUUCUUUUGCGUUGUUGUAUUUCUUUCUUUUGUUUUUACACCCUGCGACUCUUAAAACUGGCAUUCCUGUACCAGAUGUGGCAAUCAGGCCUCCAUUACAUUUUGUCCUCUUCCUUGGAUUUGACUUUGCCAUCAUUAUUAUGUUGCCUUUAAUGCUAUAGAGGAAGAUGUGUUGUCUUCUUCACAGGCUGCCGUAGCUGUAGCAUGUAGCCUUGUUUGCUUUACUGCCCCCCCCCCCCCCCCCCCCCCCCCAACUUGCUGCUGUUUGUAAAAUGUCACCUUCACAAUUCUUGGAGAAGUGAUUUCAUGUAUGGAUCAUGGUUGAGAGGCGACAUUACUGCUCCCUCAUUUUGUCAUCAGUUGCAGAAAACAGAAAAUGUGAAGCUAUCUCGCUAGACCUCGACGCAAAAUAAUCUGGCAGGAUAUCAAGCACAUGAUGUACAAUUUUUCUGUGUGUAUAUUAUUCAAAUUUAAACCAUUGUUGUUAUUAUUAUUAUUAUUAUUAUUAUUAUUAUUAUUAUUAUUAAUAUUAUUAUUCAUGUCAUCAUUUCUUACCUAUUCCUUUAAUAUUGAACACUUUGGGUCUCCAUACUUAUACUUAUGUCCUAAUAUCGCAUAUUUCCCCCUGAAACACGGGUUUAUGUGCCGAUGACGCUAACGCUGAAGAUAACAGUGAACGAGUCUUACAUUACUUUGCUCCUCUACCUCGACAUUUCUGAUUUAAAAAUGCUCAAAUGUGUUUAUUGGGCCUUUAGCAGCAGAGAUGUAAGAUGGUGGUGAUGUUUGUUCAUCCAGUGAUUAAUCUGCCCAGCCCUCUGUGUACCUCCGCCUGCAGCGGCCCGUACUCCACCACUUCUCCGUCUACUGUUAUUACCCCUUUGGGUGAAGAUGGCUCCAGCCUGAGCGCCCGCACCUUAGCGUGCACUAAAUGUUGACAGUUAGUAGCCAGAUGUGCUCCCUUCUCCAUAGCGAGGAACAGCUUCAGCAGCGCGGUGCGUGAUAUCCCCGCUCUGACGUAGAAAAGAUGGAUGACGCCGUCGUCCGGAGUGGCGUCUGGUGCUGCCAGCAGGUCCUCCGCCAGGUUGGACUGGUACAUGGCCAGCAUGAGGACAAAAUCUU